Molecule: non-coding RNA, 8606 nt
Organism: Delphinapterus leucas (beluga whale)
Lineage: Eukaryota; Metazoa; Chordata; Mammalia; Artiodactyla; Monodontidae
Source: RefSeq, a predicted model, not a curated record
UGAGGCCUCAGACCAGCUGAGGCAGCCAUGGGAACAGCGAUAGCAUUUACUUCUAGCGCUUCUGCCCUCAUGGCCCGCGGCCCUUCCCUCCUCCCAGCAGAGAGUUCUGGACAGGACCGGGCCCAAGCUUUCAGCCUAGCAGAAACCUGGAAGCGAGGCAGCGUUCACCAUGAUGCAGUGAGGAGUCCAAGGCCCUGAGAGGUCAUAUGACUCACUCAAGGUCAUCCUGCCAUAGCAGAGAUGCGAUGAAGCCCUGCCUUUGGAGAAGGACUGCCCCAGGGUAGAAAAGCCCUCCGCUGAGCCUGCUCUGUGCCAUGUGCUACACACUGGAUACAGGGCUGAGGGAGUUCAAACGGACUUCCGCCCACGCCUGCUCCCCGCAUCGGCCUGUCAGAUGCCCACCUCAGAGGCCUGGUGGAGGCCGCGACCCCUGGAGGCUGGACCUUCCGAGGAGGCUCUGACCACCUUCACCAGGUAAUAGCCCAAACCACCUGGCAGCCUUGGCCCGCCCUUGAGCCUUGGGGCUCCUUCCCUGACUGCACGUCGAUUUGCCCAUGACCCUGACUCCUUGGUUGGCUCUCACCUUGAUUGGCUAUUUCCUCUGACAUGGACCAGGCAUGGGGCUCUGGCCUGGCCCGAGUUCCCCUCUCAGGCUCUGGUGCCCUCUGCACUCCGGUUGGGCUACUUUUGGCUUCAGAACUCCUGUCUCAGCCCUGACAGCUUUUGGUGACCUCACGUAUUAAGUGUCUAAGGGAACAUGCCCCCAGGGCUGGCUGGGGCCUCAGAGUCAGGCCUGACCCCGAGAGGCCUGGUCUUCCCGUGCGGGCUCUCGUACAGGUGUGAGCACCUGUGUCUCACAUGCUGAGUCCAUCUGCUGCUGCGGGAACUUCAGAGUCCUGCAAACUUCCCUUCCUUGGUGUUUUGGGAGUUGCUAAGGGUGCGGGUCCUUCCUGCAUUUUUUGAUGCAACCAUCACUGCAGCUCACUAGGCCUGCUAACCAAGCCUUCACUGGGGACCUCCAGCCAUACCAGUGCCUGCUGGACUGGGCCGGGCCAGUUCUCCUGGCAGAGUGCUGCUUCCUCGUAGCUGGACAUGCCCAAACCCGAUGCUGGGAGCUGUCCUGGGACCCCCAGAAGACAUCCCGGUCCCCCUUAUUAUCUGCUGCCUGGUUCAGAGCUGGGAGGUUUGGACACAGACCCCUGCACGUUCCUUGUGAAAUUAGAAGAAGCAUAUUCCCUGCCUUGGCGUCAUAUUGGCUGAGGGGUAGAGAGUUCCAUGCAGGGGAUUUGAAUCCCAGUGAGUUAUUCAUUCAUUGAUUAAUUCACUCACCAAAACUUGGUUGAGUUCCUAUUAGGUGCCUCACCCCGUCUGCCCUCAUGGAGCUUAUACUCUAGUGGUGGGUACACCCCAUUGCACAAAUAAACAGGAGGUGUUUAUUACUGGACAGGAGAGAGCAAAGCUAGGAUAAGAAUAUGACAGGGAGCGACCAGAGGCCGGUGUAGGUAGCGUGGUCAAGAACUUCUUCGAGGAAGUGACAUUUAAGCUGAGACUUGGAUGAUGAAUAAGAGCCAGCCAUGCAAAGCUCCAGAGGGAGAGCGUUUCCAGAGGAGGAAGGAGCGGUGCAGAGGCCGGGGCUGAGGAUAAGUCUGGUAGGUUCAGGAUCAGAAUAGGGCUGGUGUGGCUGAAGCAUGGUGAGUGAGAGGGGCAAACAAGAUGGGAGAUGGUGUGGAGAACUUGGGGGCUGCCAAUCACAGACUAGGAUGAGAGGUCAGAUUUGAUUCCAGUGGGAAGGAAAAUCCUAGGAGGGCUUGAUGACCAGAGAGACUGGGUCAGAUACAACCAGGGCAUUAUCAUUUCACUUCUUGAAGCCUCAGUUUUCUCAUCUGUAAAAUGGGCAUAAUAAUAUCUCCUCCAUAGGGUGGAAUAAUGAAUGAGGAGACAGUAGAAGAAUAAAACUAGAUCAUGAAUUAUGUGCUGAGAUGAAUUGUAACAACUGAAGGUAACUCUUCUUUUUCAGUUUCCAGGAAACCAGGAUGAAAGCAGAACAGGUUACCUAGUGGUAGGAAUCACCCAGCUCAACAGGGGAGACCAUUUCUAGCCCUAAGUUUAGAAAGGCAUUUACCCCUGAAGGCUUAGAUGCCCUAUCCCUUAUUUUCUACAUCAUUCCUACGCUCCUGAGACAUCCUGAUCAUCUUUGGCCACUGGUUGGUUUAGGACGGACCUGGGGAGAUGGAAAUAGGACCCAGGCUACUCCUGGCUUAGCUGUAAACUGCAGAGUUACCUAUAGAUUUGGAAUAGCUGCCAGUGAGCUACUGCCCUCAGCUUUAUCUCCCAUGGUCUGUGCCCUGGUCAGGGGCUGGUAAGAGGGCCUGGUAACUAUCCAGAGAGUCUGGACUGAACCUGGCUCCAGGCACUGGUGUUUACUUCCUCCGGGUUUUCUUAUUUGAAACCCACGACUUGUAAAUAAUCUAUGGGUUGUUGGUAAAGAUGGAGCAACUUAUAAUGGUACAGAGUCGCCGUUGGAUGGUAGUCUGCCUCCUGCCAUGGUUUGCCUUUUAUGAGCUGUAUGAUCGGGGAAAAUCACGUUAACCUCCUGGGCUACAGUGUUCCAGUCUGUCACACAGGAUCGGGAUCUCUUUCGGGAGGGCUGUCGUGAAAUCAAAGCUAAUGCCCCAUCAGGCCUGGCCAUGACAGAGCUCUACACCCCAUUCUUUUUAUUCACGAACGUAGCUGCAGUUGCAGAACCACAGCCAAAUUGUGAAUUAGUGAUACACAGCCUUGUUGGUUCCAAGGAUAAUCAAUUGUUGAAUAAGUCUAGAUCUUGGUCGGCCAGGUGAUGUUUCAGGUAACUGGCAAAUGGCUUGAAAAAAUGAAUGGCUUUAAGGCAACUCCAGACAGCCUUCCCAGGUCCUCCCAGCAGAAGCAGAGGCAGUGGAAGCCCAUCCCUAUAUCUGUGGCUGGGAACCGGGCAGGGAGCCCAGGGGGCAGACACGUGGUUGACUCCUCUCCAGGCCACUUACAGCUGAGGGCACGGGGCCCAGCACAAGUAGAUGCUCAACAUUCAAACACGAGUCUGUUUACUGCUAGAUUCCAAUGGUUUUAAGCAAGGCGUGGCUGGGCCUUUAAAAAUAAACAAAUCAAACGUGCCAAAUUGCUUUGACAAUCUCCUCAUUCAUGCCUUUUGCUUGGUCCUCUUCUACUGGACCCACUGCUUAGAUACUGUCCUUUACUUGCACCCCCUAACACGUUCAUAGACACUCAUACACAUUCUCGCACCCUCACUCACACGCACCCACACACACCCCGCAAGUGUACUCAGAGAACAGCGCUGCAGAGGGACUGAGGGCUCCAUUCGAGCACCUGGAGUUUGAUCCUGGUUCUAGCACGCCAUUGCUAUGGGGCCCUGGGCAAGUAACUUAACCCCUUUGAGCCCCGUCUGCAAAAUGAAGAGAAAAAUAACAUGCGUAACUCCUGUUGUCAAGAAAGGCAUGUAAAGCGGUCAGCGUGGCACCUGGCAGGUAGGAAGUCCUCAGUAAACGCUAGCUAUUCAUCCUGCAGUGUCCCCACGUGCACUUACACACCAGCACUCGAGAAAAAGCACACCGAAACACGCAGCGAAGAAUCGGGGCUUUUCGCCUCUGUGAGCCAGUGGGCCAGGAGACAACCAGGGUCUGGGCCCGGUUGUGGCUGGAGGGUGCUGGGCCUCGCUCUUGGUCUCGGGUCGGGGUAUGGCCUGCUGGGGCCAUGCUGGGCAGGGAGUAGCAAAGGUUUCUAUCUGGGAAGAAACGGAUGGGAGCCAACAAUGGCCUCUCAUCCUCUUGUCAGAAGGCUGUGGAAUUAAAGCCACCUGGCUUUUGUCUCUAUCAAGUGGUCUUUUAUAUGGAGAGAUAACAAAGGACAAUUAAUAUAGCAACUGGAGCAACCUUUGAUGCCCCGGUAAUUUCUCUGCCUUACAAUUAUUGAACAAUCAGGGUUUUCCAGGCUCCCAAUUAAAUCACAGUCGGAAACAGAGACAGGCAGAAAGUGGACAUUGCAGCUAGAGGCCACACUGACCCAAGGAAGGACAGCGAUCUGGGACUCCAAGGGAAUGCCCGGGGUGGGCGUGGUGGCAGAAAGAAGGGUCUGGGUUGAAAAAUGAGCCUCCCACCUGGGUGGCAGCUGGACCAGCCUGGGAGAAGAGCAGAUGCCGUUGCUGAUGGAAGGUCUGGGAGGGAGCAUCUGGCCCCCGACGCUGGCACACACCUCGGAAAAGCAGGCUCUUGGCACGCCUGCUUGCCCAGGCUGACACACCCUGGGAUCAGGAGCCGGCCCUGUGCUCCAUCUGGGGGAAUUGGCAUUAGCGGAGGCUGGUCCUCUAACUCACAGAGGGGUCGCCUCUGUGCUCAUGUAGGCACCAGCCUAUUGCACCUCUGAGCUUCCUCCAAGGGCAAAGCACUCGAUGAUUCAGGUUUAAGUAGCAUCAGAGAGAAAGGUCGGUUCUCCCCGAGAAGGCCAGUUCCCUGCCUGGAGCACCCAUCGUGAUGGGCCCUCCCCAGCUGCUCUGCAUCAGGACAGCUGUUCAGGCUGCUCACAGCUAGGUGCACCUGCCCUGGCUUCAGUCCCCCAUUUUGGAAACUGGUCCUCAAAAUUCUCCUCUUCCUCAUUCAUUGUUAAUGUAGCCUCUACUUAUUCAGCCCCGCUGAGGCGCCGGGCUAGGAACACCACUCACAUUCCCUUAUGUGAGCCCUACAACAACCCUUAUGAAGUACUUACUAUUGUGUCUGCCUUAUGGAAGAGAGAAUAGUUUUCCCUGAGGGUACAUUACUUACCUACAGCUAUGUUGCUCAUAAAUGGCACAAACAGAAUUCAGACCUAUAUCUACCUGACUUCAAAGAUAUAGCCUUAACCACUGGACCACACGGCCUCCCCUUGAUUGUUGCAAAAUAGAUGGGAGCCAAGCUGGUGGCCCAAAGCACAGUCAGCUCACACAGCAGGAAGGGUGUUUGGAAUGCCGCCCCUGGCCUGGCCACUGCUGUCACCAUGCCAUCCCUUGAGAAACCUUUAACUAUGCCUGUGUCUUUGUGUCACCUGCUUUAUACUCAGAGUCCUGAGUGGGACCAUCCUGUUGGCCAAUUCUAAACCCCAUUCUCCUGUCCUGGAAGCUGAGAAAAGAAAUGUCCACUUCCUGGACAAUAUGAGGGAUUUUGAACCCCUGCACCCCACAUACUUUGGGCCUCUCUCAAAUAGAAAUUGGGUUUGGAGGCUGGGAACCAAAAAGAAAAAGUACAUUUGUCUAGUUCAGAUUCCUAAGAAACGUCAUCCCCAUCCCCACCCCUUAACACAUGGGAAACAUGCUGGCAUUGAUUUGGGAUAUCUGUGGUCUUGUAGGGGGAGGUGGAAGCACAUGCCACAUAGCCUCCAUCUGAGACCCCAUCUUCCUACUUUCCUUUGUGGAUGGAGGUGUUGGGGCCCAGAGAGGUUAAUAUACCUGCAGAAGGUCACACAGCUGCUUAGUGACAUUAUAAUUAUAAAUAAAAAUUCCACCCAUGUAUACCAUCUUGGGGUGGCUGGUCUGAAUCAGUGAAUGUUGUAUGAAAGGACUUUUCCUCCUUUCCUCCAUCCCUUUCUCUCUGUUUAUGUUAACUAGCAAGCCCUAUGAUAAAUGCUCUGGGGAUACAGGUAAGUACGAAACCUGAUCUCUGAGCUCAGGGAGCUAUCCAAGGACUCCCAGGAUUCAGGAAGGGUGAGCAGAGGGUGCCAAGAGCAAGCUCUGCUGGUUUAGACAAUGACUUGGGUCUCCUCAUCCUCUUGCUUGAGGCCAGGGGACGUCUGAGCUAUAAGAAGGCCUCAUAAAGUUGUAAGGAAGAAUGAUGGCAAUUUCUCAAGGCUGAUUAGGGACAGAGUUGCUGGCAGAAGGUCCAUGGGGUGGCACAUGGCCCACCUUUGGGCCAUGCUGGGGAUACGCCAGUCCUUGUCCCACAGAGAAGAUCUCUGUUUCCUUGUCUGUGAAGUGAAGACCAUGGUCAGACUUCUUUUACAGUGUUUUUUCAUGAGGAUUAAGUGGUAUAUGGUGAUUAGAGAGCUUUGUAAACGGUGAAGUGCGUGCACACUUGUUACUAAUAUUUUGUGAAGCUGGAGGUCCAAGGAUGCCAGCUCCUCUGAGACUGAUGGAAGUUUGGAGGCCCUGGGGCUCUGAGAAGGCCUGGAUUUUAACUCCAAAUCUGCCUGGUUUUGCUGCUCUAAGGCAAGAACCUAGAGGAAAGCAAGCGGCAUCAUGGAGCCAUGGAAGAGCCUCAGAUGGGAGCCUGUGAUCUGGGCCUCAUCCCGGGCUGCCUGGCUAUGGAACCUUGGACCAGUCUCUGCUGAUUCUUAGGUCUCAGUUUCCUCAACUGUAAAAUGAGGCAAAGGUGGAGGGACCACAGGGAUGGGUGAAACAAUAGAGUAGUCAAGAGCUCAGGGUCUGAGCUGAGGCCUGAGUUCCAAUCCCAGCGUCACCACAUGUGAGACAUGCAAAUUGCUUGACCUCCUCCUUCUCCCUCCUGGACCUCAGUUUCCUUACCUUUAUAGUGGUGUAAUAACAGCACGUCUCCCUCGAGGUUACUGUAAGCCUGCAAGGGGCCAGCAUGUGGCAAAUACUGAGGACGGUUCCAGCGGUGAGUGCCGAACCCCCAAGCAGUUUUGUCGCUGCCACAGAUUUCUUCUUCUUCAGACAUGCUCUUGUUCUAUGGAUAGGGAUGGAAUGUUUUACGGGGGAGCAAAGUGCCCUAGAAUGGAUGAGCCAGGACACGGCGCCCAGGGGAGGGUGACAGUGGGGGGUAAACGGCAGCAGCUUGUUUACUUGGCAUUAGCCCACUGACACCCCGCCUCCCUCGAAAGCCAGACAGAGCUUCUAAACUUAUCCACCUUCGGAGGACGUUGGGAGGCUCACGCUUAUAUUUCUGAAUUCCUUCCUCCUGGAAAGCCCCCGGCAGCCUCCAUGCCAAAGCUGCUCCUGGGGAUUAGGGGUGAGUGACGGCCCAGCACUGUGGGGGUUAAUGGCUCCUGGUCGAUGUGGGGUGGGGUGCACGCUCGCUGAUGCAGAGACAGCAGGUGAAGGGUACUUUAUUACGAUGCAUGACUGGUUCCUCGGCUGCUUCAGCAUCUGCCCGUGCGCACGCAGAAGCUAGCAAGCGAUUCGCUCUAUUUUGCCCCUGAGUGUGCCUCCCGAGGAGGGAAAUUAUUGAUUUUUAACACCAGACACAUAAACUCGAAGCUAUUCCCUGUAUUCUUUGGUCCCCGGCGGUACCCUGAUGGACAAAGUUGGCCGUUUCAGUCAUCAGACACACACGCAGCAGAACCAGGUGGUCAUCACCUUGCCACCACGAGGUGGAGGAACCUUGGUGUUCUCUGAGCUGGUCCUGCUGUGUGAGGUGCCAGCCCUCCGGACCCGCCCUCAUCCCAGUCCACUGCCUUUCCCGAGCUUGUGGGGAAUGGACUGCUGAGCGAUUGAAGGAAGUGAGGUCCAGGUCCGGGAGAGAGGGUGUCGGUUCUGGGGAGUAGAAGUGAGCACUGGACGUGAUUCUGACCUCUGAGAUGGGACAGCUCUAGGGCUGUGGUCAUCACUUUAUCUCCUCCAAGCCCACAGUUUAUAUCUGUAAAGUGAGGGUUAAAUGGCCACUGUGUGUGAACCCAUAGAAGAUGGAUGGACAAGCUUCCUGGGUAUUAACCAUGGCUCUCACCAUGACCCAGGGCAUCUGUAGUGUGUGUGUUAACACGCUACAGCAUCGAGCAUCCCUGGGCUAUCAGGCUGGGUGGAGACUUCCCUAGCUGCAGGCCUAUCUGCUCAUUUUCCAGGUGGGAAAACUGAGGCCCAGGGAAGGUGAGUUACAAUGAAUCUUCUUGUUUCCUGUCUCAAUCUCCAUCCACCCUCAGAUCAAACACCCAAAAUGUUUUCUUCUAUUUUCUUAUCUGCUUUGUAAAGUGUCUAAAUAGAUUUCGCUUUUAUAAUUAGAAAAAAAAAACUGUUACAAUAAUGCAAAUCCAUUGCCAUUUUUUUCUUUUCAAGAAAAGGCAGAAAAGUAAAUGUCUCAAGGACAUUUGAAGAAGGCACAAAGUUUGGCAAAUAUCAAUUACAUCAAGCUUAUGAUCUAUAUGAUUUUAAAGAAAUUUUAGUGAUCUUUUCCCGUGGUCUGCAGAAGAAACCAAAACUCCUCAACCCAACGUCCAAAGCCUCUUCCUGUCUGUUCUUCACCACCCAUUUCCCAAUCCCAUCUGUACUCACACAUUCUCUGCUCAAAGCAGCCCCCUGCCUGCUUCCUCUCCCUCCAACCCCACAUGCCAUUCUUCCAGCUCCCAGCUACUACCUCUGAACUUCCUUCUUUUAAUUAAAAAAGAAAACAUUUUCUUUUUCAGCAAUAAAGUCAUUCCCUCAUCUCACUCAAAAAGUCUAGAGGUGGGCAGGGGUUUAAUGAUGGAGUCAAGGGCCAGGCUCUCUUUCUGCUCCAACAUCCUCAGCAUGCUGCAUGUAUGCCCUCAUAUUUAUUGCCUCAUGGUCGCAAAAUUGCUGCCACAGCCCCGAGCAUCAGCUCUGCGCUCAAGGCAAAAAAGGGAGCAGGGCAGCACUGGCAAAUCUCUCUGUCGUCAAAAAA